Molecule: long non-coding RNA, 1217 nt
Organism: Oxyura jamaicensis (ruddy duck)
Lineage: Eukaryota; Metazoa; Chordata; Aves; Anseriformes; Anatidae
Exons: 6
Source: RefSeq, a predicted model, not a curated record
CCCCUUUAAGGCUUCACACUGUGAUUUGAGUAAGAGUCAUGGGACUCCCAGGUUUUGGGAAUCACAGCCAUCAAUCUGAAAGUGCAGCCCGAGGAAGAUUAGGGGGAUCCCACAUCAUGAACUGAAACACUGGGGAAAUAUAUGGUCAUGCACAGUCGGAGAGGAGGAGCUAAAGUGAGAAAAUCUGCAGGAGAACACGAUACAACCUCACUCACUCCAACUGCUCAUUUCCAGCCAGGCAGAGCUGCUGAGACAUUCCAGAACCAGAUCGGAAGGUGAGCAACAGGGCUAUGAAACAGAGUCACGGACAGAUCCUGCUGGGAGCAGCCGCUCGCACUGCUGUACCUGGGGAUUACAUCUGCUCAGGAGGGCUCCCAGCCCGUCGGAUGGAGCGUAAAGGCAGAGGAGGAGAAAAUCCUCUUGAAAUUGAAUGUGAUGACAGAAAUAAAAAUCGAGCCUGAGUUGCAUUUCCCUGUUUACCUGCCCUCAGGCCCUUUAAAUUGGGAUGGGAAAGGGAAAAAUUGUGUUUCUGCUGGGGUAGCUGUUUGCCAGCUGGUUCCUAUGGGCUUAUAUUCCCUCUAAGUGGUUUGUGGAGCGAAGGCCAAAGCCUGGAGACGGCUCCAAGUGGCUGUGUUGGGGCAGACACCCAGGUAACUCAAAUUGGAUCCUGCCUCUUGGAACAAGUUCUGACAUCACUUACUCCGGUGCAGCCGGGGUUAUUCAUUUGGGCUAAGCAAAUUAAAAGGUUCUGCUUAGCCUCUCCCUUGCUUUGCUUUUAUACUGUCAGUGUAAUUGAAGCUACUCCUGGUUUAUAACCCCACGCCGGGGAAUAUCGCAUCCAGACAGCGUGUGGUGACGCAUCGGAAUAAUGGCGAAUAUUGAAUUCGGCGGUUAUACUAAUGUGCACCUGCUGAGGAGCUGGUCCAGCGGGAUGUGCACGGGCGGCUGGCGAGCCGUCAAGGCCUCGAGACGGCACGGGCUUCAUCCUCACAACGCGCUCAGUACGCCCCAUGCGGUUCGGCGCUCUGCCCCGUGCCGGCCACGGUCUCGUCUCCGCACGACGCCGCUCCGAUUCGCGGCUCCCCGCAUCCAGCCCUUGUGCUCCUCGGCCGAGCCAGCUGCAGCGAGCCGCGAGGAAAGGGUGGGGUGGCUGCGUACGUGUGUGCCAAAGUGUCGGCAAUCCCUUGCCGGGGAGGAGCAGACGUGCGGGGACGACG